GAGAUAUGAUGAGAGAAAUUUUGGUCCGUGUUUCUGAUUAACCGUGACCGAUAACCCCAAUAAUAGCACACUCUGAUCUC
Non-coding RNA from Corylus avellana, 80 nucleotides. The record is from RefSeq and is a predicted model, not a curated record. NCBI's taxonomy places the organism in Eukaryota, Viridiplantae, Streptophyta, Magnoliopsida, Fagales, Betulaceae.